Molecule: long non-coding RNA, 4113 nt
Filed under: Canis lupus familiaris (dog)
Lineage: Eukaryota; Metazoa; Chordata; Mammalia; Carnivora; Canidae
Description: lncRNA (ENSCAFG00040018946.1)
Source: RNAcentral
AUGGAGGAGAAAAUGAGUCUGGUCAGCAGAAAUAUGGGACCUACCUUUAAUCCUUUAAUAAUGGUCCAGAAAAUAAUUUAUCUCGUGCUGUUAUUUUGUAUCUGCCUCUGUAAUAAACAACUCAAAAUCGAGCAAAGACAUACCAACCAUAGAGGAGAAAAUGAGUCUGGUCAGCAGAAAUUUGGGACCUACCUUUAAUCCUUUAAUAAUGGUCCAGAAAAUAACUUAUCUCUUGCUGUUAUUUUGUAUCUGGCAGUUCAACCAAAGACAUCACUCCGUCCUUAGCAGGGAGAAUCACUUUUACUCUAGCCUUGGUGGAUAGCUUUAUAUAAUUUAUAUAUUUUUUAAUUUUGGUAAUAGCAACUAGCUGGCUAAGGCAAUAAGCCCUUUUUAACACAGACUAAAUAAAGAAAUCUCUCAUAUUUCAAUUAACUAACUGAACCAAAUCAUAACGAGCAUGACUGUUUCAUUUCAUUUGGCUGUUGCUCAAAGAAUGUUCACUCAAAAAAUGUUUCAUUGUUAAUAUUUAAAAUGUUCACACUAACAUUAUAAACAUUAUAACUAAUACUAUAAUGUUCAUACUAAUAUUGGAAAAUUAGAAAAACACUAAUCUGUGAUAGAAGGGCCAUUACACCAACUAAAACUCUUGUUUUUAUUGAAUUAAUGGUGUUGUCCUUGGCUUUUUACCUCUAGAAAUGUGGCAGGUGCCAGGCAAGCAAUGGGUAGGAAUGAAAGAUAGUGUGUCAUACAAAGGUACAUAUGAGUGGUCCCAUUUAUUUAAAAAUCUUGAAAUUAUCAAUAGUCUCACUGGUUGUAUGCUUUAUGCUGCAGAUUUUUUAAGUAUGUAGGUGAUAAACUAUUUCCAAUACCAUAUAUACCAUUCUUGCAAAUCAUAGUAGUCAUUGAGUAACAAUUGAUAAAUGUAAUUAAUCUUUUCUUAGGACACAUAAAGAUUGUGUAUGGGAACAUCAUAUAGUUGUCCUCAAUUUCAAAAAUUAUUAUCAUAUAGUUGUCCUCAGUUUCAAAAAUUAUUUGUAAAUUCUAUCAAAAGUCCAUCCCUCUGAUCAACUCACAAGUACAUAUAAUUCUUACAAACACUUGCAUAUAUUAUAUUAUUUUAAAAUUAGUAAUAGUCGGGAUGCUUGGGUGGCUCAGCAGUUGAGCACCUGCCUUCGACCCUGGGAGUGAUCCUGGAGUUCCAGGAUGGAGUCCCACAUCGGGCUCCCUGCGUGGAGUCUGCUUCUCUCUCUGCCUGUGUCUCUGCAUCUCUCAUGAAUAAAUAAAUAAAAUAUUUUAAAAAAUAAAAUAAAAUAAAGUUAGUAAUAAUCAUUUUAAAUAACCCAUUAUAGAAUUUAUUUCUAAGUGAUUAAACUUAUUAAUAAUCUAAUAUUGUGAAAUUCUAAAUAUAAACAUCUUUCUAUUUGUCAUUUGGUCAUCAAUAUUCAUAAAUUUCCAAAUUUCAUGCACACUUUUUUUUUUAAAUUUUCAUUUCCGCAUCUCUGAGAGCAGGUUGUGUCACAUAAUGGAUGAUAUGAAAGUACUGCAUUCUAGCUUAAUAGGACACCUUUUGUUCUCCUUCGCAGUUAGAGCAAUAGAACAUAAAAUGAUGAGGUUUCUUGUAAUCAUUGCUUCUCGAAUUCAAUGAAAUAUAGGAAGAGACAUUGUUUCCCUGGCUCACUAACUAGAUUUGUUGUAUGAUAUUAUACCUGGCCGAAAGUUGGUUAACUAUAUUCCAGGACAGAUGGGUCCAGGGUCCCACACAUGAGGGUACUUAGCACUACACUUGACAAAAAGCAAGCUUUCAACAAAUGAGAACAACUGCCUUCUUUGACAUGAAAUAUCUGAGUAUGUAUAGAAGAUGCUGAUCCUGACCCUGCUAAUUUCCUUUAUUAAAUUCCUGUUCCCAGGCCCUUCUCUUUUCUGGAAGCGUGCCUUUGUCUAAAAAACCCCCUUUACCCAGAGUAGCCUGGGAGGUUACAACUAUCUGCCUGCCUGGGGUGGGCGGGGAGGGAGGGACACAUGAACAAAGGUAGAAAAUCCCAGCUCUUUUGCCUAAAGGCAGGCAAUGCAACUGCUUCAGAGCUUCUUCCCCAGGGAUAAAGCUAAACUGGACUUCUGAAACCACGCCCUUGCCUAACUCCUCCCUUGUCCUACUCAGCUUCCCUGACUCAAAGGCUUUUCAUGAGAGCACACCUUCAAUAAAUCACUUACACAAGAUUUACAAGUGCUUCUCCUAGACAACCCUACCUAAGAGUAUGUUUCCUCAGGUUUUGGCUGGGUGUGGUAUUUCUACUGGUUUCUACAAGAUGUUUGGCCAGCAUCAUCAUCUGAAAACAACCAGUUGAGCCUUAGGGAACCAGACCUAGGGAUUUACACAUCUGCCCUCACGGUGUCAGGGGGAAACAGAUACGUAAAUAAACAAUCACAAAUUAGUAAAAUGCACGUAGAUGAAAGGUGCUAUAGAAAUACCGGAGAAAAGAGUGAAUAAUGCUGCUGGUAAUUCACUGAAAGCUAUGUUGAGAGAGUUAAAUUUGGGUGCAAUCAUGAAGACAUGAAAGUGGCUGAGAUUUGCUCAGGUAAACAAGGGGUAAGGCUGAACCAGAGAGAAAAUGCCACAUUUAGUUAAAAGAGGUUUGAGAAACCAUGUUGCGUUCACAAAUCUGCAUGUAAUGUGGCAAGAGGGAAUAAGCUGCAAACUGGCACAAGAUGAAUGUGUGUCUGUGCAUAUAUACAUACAUAGAAUUACAUAGAAUUUUCGAUCAAUUACAUGAUGGAGAACCGGAGAAAGAUAAGUAGGAAAAUAACAUAGAUUUCUUUAAAAUUUUUUAAAUUAAUUAUUUAAGUUUAGGUGAAAUAUGGAUGAGAAAAAAUUCAAAAUGUAUCACAUGAUAUAAACAUUUAGUUUAUUAAAGAAGAUUCUAACAGCAAUAUAGAGAAUGUAAGGGAAUGGAGUGGAUCUGCAGGAAGAAAGACCAUUUGAAAGAUGGGAAUAAAGGUGCCAGAAACUCUGCAGGCUGGGAGGAUACAGGCUCUAGAGGAACUGGUCAAAAAAAAAAAGGAACUGGUCUGCAAUUAAAUCUACUUAUACACUCAGAUGUGUUGGGGUCAUUCUAUUUCUUGCACUUAGUAGGUAAGUAGGUACAAAGCCAGACGCCCUACAUCUUUCAGGAUAGGUCAGAGAGUAUGGGACUCCACGUGAGAAGGGCAAAGAAAAUCUCAGUCAUCCGUCAGGCCCUAUUAUCAGCAACAGGAUCCCUCUGUGAAAAAAAGACAUUUGUCUCUCCAAUGGGGUGAAUGUUUCAGAAUAUCCAGCUCUGUAAAACCAUCCCCCCCCCAAAAAAAAAAAAACAUUCCCAUGCAGUUGAUAUCUUCCAUCUUUUCCUUAUAUUAAAGGGACUUGUAUUCUUUGAUUUCUCUGUAAAUCACCAUUAUGCUUUUGACAAGCACACAGCAACCCAUUACAAUAUCCCAGGGAAGAAGUGAUAAGGGUUAAACUAAGACAAUGAUCUAGGGAAGGAGAAAGGGAUGGGAGGAUUGGGAUGCGGCACUGAAAGAUUUAUUUGGUAUAAAUAAAAUAAAUGCAAACUGGCUAUCCUUUGGAAGUAAGAUAGGCUAAAGUAGAAAAUACCUAUUUAUGCCACCUUAAAAUCUUUAUGCUCAGAAAUGCCACAGUGCUAGCAGACUAAAAUAAUAUUAAAUAGCUCCUUGUUUGUUAAACCACAAAAGUGUAUCAGUUCACAAAACUCAAUUCAAGAGAGGCAGAUAAGAAAAAGGGAAAUAGAGACAUAAACAAAAGCUAUCUUCCUAAAUCAUGAAAGUAAGAUAUGAACAUUUAGCUAGGUCUGAAAGCUAGGAAAACAAACAAAAAAGUGUCAUUUUUCCCUUAUAAAAUUUCAUCAUUAAACUCUGGGUGUGCUAACUAUGGCCAUGAAUCAUAGCUACAUGGCACUGAUGCUACGCUACUCUACUCUCCUCUGGGAGAGGCCACUACGCCAUUGUGUUAUGAAAGCAGGUCUGAGCCCAGCCAAUGGCUAAACAUUGUCUUAGGUAUCUAAUGACCCAUGCCUUCCUGCCAAAAAUUCACAGGCUCGGCUGUGAGUUGUAUCCUCCUGU